CCUACGGGAGGCAGCAGUGGGGAAUAUUGGGCAAUGGAGGAAACUCUGACCCAGCAACGCCGCGUGAAUGAUGAAGGUCUUCGGAUUGUAAAGUUCUUUUCUAAGGGAAGAAGAAAGUGACGGUACCUUAGGAAUAAGCCUCGGCUAACUACGUGCCAGCAGCCGCGGUAAUACGUAGGAGGCAAGCGUUAUCCGGAAUGACUGGGCGUAAAGGGUGCGUAGGUGGUUCAGCAAGUUAGUAGCGUAACUCCGGGGCUCAACCUCGGCACUACUACUAAAACUGUUGAACUUGAGUGCAGGAGGGGCAACUGGAAUUCCUAGUGUAGCGGUGGAAUGCGUAGAUAUUAGGAGGAACACCAGUGGCGAAGGCGAGUUGCUGGACUGUAACUGACACUGAGGCACGAAAGCGUGGGGAGCAAACAGGAUUAGAUACCCCUGU
This 439-nucleotide ribosomal RNA is filed under the name uncultured bacterium. Its description in RNAcentral is "bacterial SSU rRNA". It matches the Rfam family "Bacterial small subunit ribosomal RNA", at positions 338 to 791 of the family's 1533-position model. The record is from RNAcentral.